This 551-nucleotide ribosomal RNA is filed under the name uncultured crenarchaeote. RNAcentral describes it as "bacterial SSU rRNA". It matches the Rfam family "Archaeal small subunit ribosomal RNA", at positions 326 to 879 of the family's 1478-position model. The record is from RNAcentral. Lineage: Archaea; Thermoproteati; Thermoproteota.
CGGGGUGCAGCAGGCGCGAAACCUUCGCAAUGCGCGAAAGCGUGACGAGGUUAAUCCGAGUGACUUCCGCUGAGGAGGUCUUUUGUCAGCUAUAAAUAGGCGGGCGAAUAAGGGGAGGGCAAGCCUGGUGUCAGCCGCCGCGGUAAUACCAGCUCCUCGAGUGGUCGGGGCGAUUGUUGGGCCUAAAGCAUCCGUAGCCGGUUCCGUAGGUCUUCUGUUAAAUCCAACCGCUUAACGGUUGACCUGCAGAAGAUACCGCGGGACUAGGAGGCGGGAGAGGCGGACGGUACUCCGCGUGUAGGGGUAAAAUCCUUUGAUCCGCGGAAGACCACCAGUGGCGAAGGCGGUCCGCCAGAACGCGCUCGACGGUGAGGGAUGAAAGCUGGGGGAGCGAACCGGAUUAGAUACCCGGGUAGUCCCAGCCGUAAACGAUGCUAGCUAGAUGAUUCAUUCGCAAGUCGCGAAUGAAGUGUCGCAGGGAAGCCGUUAAGCUAGCCGCCUGGGGAGUACGGCCGCAAGACUGAAACUUAAAGGAAUUGGCGGGGGAGCAC